This 155-nucleotide ribosomal RNA is filed under the name Puccinia polysora. RNAcentral describes it as "5.8S ribosomal RNA". It matches the Rfam family "5.8S ribosomal RNA". Rfam says of the family: 5.8S ribosomal RNA (5.8S rRNA) is a component of the large subunit of the eukaryotic ribosome. It is transcribed by RNA polymerase I as part of the 45S precursor that also contains 18S and 28S rRNA. Lineage: Eukaryota; Fungi; Basidiomycota; Pucciniomycetes; Pucciniales; Pucciniaceae. The record is from RNAcentral.
AACUUUUAACAAUGGAUCUCUUGGCUCUCACAUCAAUGAAGAACACAGUGAAAUGUGAUAAGUAAUGUGAAUUGCAGAAUUCAGUGAAUCAUUGAAUCUUUGAACGCACCUUGCACCUUUUGGUAUUCCAAGAGGUACACCUGUUUGAGUGUCAU